Molecule: non-coding RNA, 88 nt
Organism: Podarcis lilfordi (Lilford's wall lizard)
Lineage: Eukaryota; Metazoa; Chordata; Lepidosauria; Squamata; Lacertidae
Source: the annotation of a GenBank genome assembly
UGAUAGAUAGAUAGAUAGAUAGAUAGAUAGAUAGAUAGAUAUAGAUUCUAUCUAUCUAUCUAUCUAUCUAUCUAUCUAUAUCUAUCAU